Molecule: long non-coding RNA, 1204 nt
Organism: Mustela erminea (ermine)
Lineage: Eukaryota; Metazoa; Chordata; Mammalia; Carnivora; Mustelidae
Exons: 2
Source: RefSeq, a predicted model, not a curated record
GAAAGCCUCAGGACCUGUGGCAAGAGAGGCAAAGCUGGAGCUACAUCUGAUUUCUGAGCUUUGAAUGAAAAAUCAUGAAUGUGGAACUGUAAUAUCUGCUGUCUCAGGAUCUCUCAGCCAGCAUCUCAAAAUAUUGAAGAGAAGGAGGAGCCCCAGUAACCCCCAGAAAUGGAUGAGUGGGAAUACCCGCCAUUAGCAAAUCAGGAGCUUCGAUCUCCUGGCCUCAAUCCUGGAAGGGAACUGAUGAUAUCUGAGCUUUGGCAAUGAUCCCCCAGAAGCAGCCCACAGAGCACAGGGAGAAGCAUGCCACAGCACGUUCUAGGAGCCACUUGUUUUUGAAAAGAAUUUUCUAAGUUUUCAAAAGUGACUGUUGGAUUAAAAAUCUCUUUUGUGCACUCAUCCCCAUGUGUCCCACAGCAGCUUCUUCAACUGUCAACAGCGUCAGCUUGGUUGAGUACCUACUACGUGCUAAACUCUUUGUGCCCAACAUUCACUAGAUAAAUAUGUAGAGACCCCCACUGUGUGCCAGGCUCCACUGGGAAGUCAGAGGCUCAGCUCGUAAGGUGUCGGUGCUACGUCUCUGAGGGAUGAAGCGUGUCCCCAACAGACUGCUCAUCAUCGAGACUUUUGUGUCCCCAGGCAGCAUUUAAGGAGACAAGACACUCCUGUCCCUACCUCUGCUUCUUCUUAACCCCUCUGAGGCUGAAAAAAAGGUCCUAACACUCCACUGUCUUCUAGAGCGUAUAUUCCCGGUGGCCAUCUUGAUCCCAGCUGGAGGAAGCUCAAAUUACUUACGUUUUAUAUUGCACGAAGUAGAUACUGCUGUUGCUGGUGCAAGCCCUCCCAGGCUGCCAGUGCAAAACAUUGUGGAAAUUUCGAGACUGGAAAUGUACUCUCUGAGGCUUCAGAGACUCAUGGGCUGACUGAGUUUCUAAAAUAAAGGAGUAAGAAAAACUUUGAACAUGAACACGGACACGGUUGUUCUUAGCAAUACUUGGCAGUGUGAUGCCUGCAUCAGGAUUUCCUAAAGGAGUUGAUGGAAGUGCAGAUGGGAGAGGUGGAGCCCAGAAGUCAACUUCUGAAUCUGGAGUGUGAGGAUUUUUAUGCACGCUCAAGUUCUAGAACAACUGUGUUCCUGACUGUAAAACCUCAAGCGAUACCCUCCCAUCCCAUUGCCGAGCUCCAGAGGAAGCAAAUGGUAGUG